AGCAGUCGCCGCGGUAAUACGGAGGGGGCUAGCGUUGUUCGGAAUUACUGGGCGUAAAGCGCACGUAGGCGGCUUGGUAAGCUAGAGGUGAAAGCCCGGAGCUCAACUCCGGAAUUGCCUUUAAGACUGCCGAGCUAGUAGGUGAGAGAGGUAAGUGGAAUUCCGAGUGUAGAGGUGAAAUUCGUAGAUAUUCGGAAGAACACCAGUGGCGAAGGCGGCUUACUGGCUCAUUCUAGACGCUGAGGUGCGAAAGCGUGGGGAGCAAACAGGAUUAGAUACCCCUGUAGUCCCUGUCUCUUAUAC
This 303-nucleotide ribosomal RNA is filed under the name uncultured bacterium. Its description in RNAcentral is "partial 16S ribosomal RNA". It matches the Rfam family "Bacterial small subunit ribosomal RNA", at positions 507 to 807 of the family's 1533-position model. The record is from RNAcentral.